RNAcentral lists this ribosomal RNA (373 nucleotides) under Salmonella enterica subsp. enterica serovar Enteritidis. Its description in RNAcentral is "partial 23S ribosomal RNA". It matches the Rfam family "Bacterial large subunit ribosomal RNA", at positions 899 to 1269 of the family's 2925-position model. The record is from RNAcentral. Lineage: Bacteria; Pseudomonadati; Pseudomonadota; Gammaproteobacteria; Enterobacterales; Enterobacteriaceae.
GGGGUAGAGCACUGUUUCGGCUAGGGGGCCAUCCCGGCUUACCAACCCGAUGCAAACUGCGAAUACCGGAGAAUGUUAUCACGGGAGACACACGGCGGGUGCUAACGUCCGUCGUGAAGAGGGAAACAACCCAGACCGCCAGCUAAGGUCCCAAAGUCAUGGUUAAGUGGGAAACGAUGUGGGAAGGCCCAGACAGCCAGGAUGUUGGCUUAGAAGCAGCCAUCAUUUAAAGAAAGCGUAAUAGCUCACUGGUCGAGUCGGCCUGCGCGGAAGAUGUAACGGGGCUAAACCAUGCACCGAAGCUGCGGCAGCGACACUGUGUGUUGUUGGGUAGGGGAGCGUUCUGUAAGCCUGUGAAGGUGUGUCGUGAGGC